AUAGCUCAGUGGUAGAGUGCUUGACUAGUAUGCAUGAGGGCCUGGGUUCAAAUUCCCAGU
This 60-nucleotide transfer RNA is filed under the name Heterocephalus glaber (naked mole-rat). It matches the Rfam family "tRNA", at positions 7 to 64 of the family's 71-position model. From Rfam's summary of the family: Transfer RNA (tRNA) molecules are approximately 80 nucleotides in length. The record is from Rfam by way of RNAcentral. Lineage: Eukaryota; Metazoa; Chordata; Mammalia; Rodentia; Bathyergidae.